Molecule: non-coding RNA, 29 nt
Filed under: Rattus norvegicus (Norway rat)
Lineage: Eukaryota; Metazoa; Chordata; Mammalia; Rodentia; Muridae
Source: RNAcentral
UNGGACGCUAAGAUGACAUUUGGGCGUUU